GGAUCGUUGGCCGAGUGGUUAAGGCGAUAGACUUGAAAUCUAUUCUUGAAAGAGUCAUAGGUUCAAAUCCUGUACGUUCCG
This is a non-coding RNA of Pelagophyceae sp. CCMP2097, 81 nucleotides long. Lineage: Eukaryota; Pelagophyceae. The record is from the annotation of a GenBank genome assembly.